RNAcentral lists this ribosomal RNA (444 nucleotides) under Triticum aestivum (bread wheat). Its description in RNAcentral is "partial small subunit ribosomal RNA". Lineage: Eukaryota; Viridiplantae; Streptophyta; Magnoliopsida; Poales; Poaceae. The record is from RNAcentral.
AUGACGAUGACCGGCUUCCAGCUCCAGCCAGCCGGUCACAGCUUCCGCACCACCAUCGAUCAAUCGCUCCUGCCGCCGAAGAAGAGGGCCGCAGCGGCAUCUCCAUCUCCCACGACGACGACGACGGGCUUGCAGCUCCAGCUAGCCGCCGGGUGCAGCCUCCCCACCACCAUCCAGAUCCAGGACUCGCUGUUGCCGCCCAAGAAGAGGCCGACGAGCACCACCACCAGCGCCUCCUCAUACUCCUCAUCUCUUCUGCUGAAGGCUUCUAUAAGGAAGAGACGGAUGGAUUACUACGUCGUCGUUGACGCCGGCACGGCGAGCUGCGCUCGCAUGGCGGCCGCUCUGCAGCAGGCCGGACCAGCGGCGGCGUGUGGCGCCAUGGCCUCGAAGCGCGCCAGGAAGGCCAGCUCCAGAUACAGCGCGGACGUGUGGACACAGUGA